Dama dama (fallow deer) is the source of this 1378-nucleotide long non-coding RNA. RefSeq lists it as uncharacterized. The transcript has 6 exons. The record is from RefSeq and is a predicted model, not a curated record. NCBI's taxonomy places the organism in Eukaryota, Metazoa, Chordata, Mammalia, Artiodactyla, Cervidae.
AGUUGGCCGCGGCCGCGAAGCCGGGGGCGAGGGGGAGGGCCGGCAGGUGCGCGGGCCUGGAAGAGAAACUGGCAGUUGUUGUGAAUCUCUGCUUCGCCCAUCUUGCCCCCUCCCCACCACCGCCCUGGCAUAGGAAGAAAUGGAACAAGGGAAGAAUUCCUCUAAUUUUAGGAUUGUGUUCUUGAAGGCUGGAGUAAAUAUAGAACGACUGCAAAUACAGGUCUACACCGUGCAGGUAAACGACCCACCGGUUCAAGUCCCCCUUUUAAAGCAUUUGCCAUGAGAGUGGAUGGAAGACUUUGUUUGUUCCCUUAACAAAGGUGUAUGACUAGUUAACCAAGAUGUGGAGUAAAGCAAUAGGAAAAGAGCAGGUAUUGCUGCCUAAGUUUUGAGCUAACCAGAGAAAAUCACCAUCACAGUCACCAAAUCAAAUAGCUGCAUGGGACCUAAGAGGUUGAACUUUGUCUCCCCUUCACAUGUUGAAGUCCUGAACUCGAGUACCUCAAAAUGUGACUGUAUUUGGAGAUCAGGCCUUUAAAGAGUUUUUGUCUUCUGUGAAAGUGCCUCCCACCAUCAAGGCUGCAAAUGUUCACUCCACUCAAGUUUAACAAGGGCAUCGGCCUUGCUGAUGGGACCAGUCGCUUGCUGAUGGGACCAGCAAGAGAGUCAGCUGAGAGGGUGAGGGUGAGAGCUUCUCAUCGAGGCUUUACUUCUUUCUUCAAGAGAUGAAAGGGGAAACAUGCUGUGCUUUUGGUUACAGUUGUGUGAGGACCCAAUGUCAGGGGCAAUGGCAGCUUUUUUUCAAUUUUGAGGAGAAGAGCUUGAAAACAAAGUCUAACAAGCUGAGAGGUAGAGAACUGAAAACAACCUGAGACCUUGAUGGGAUCCUCAAGCUGCUGAAUCAACCUGUCAUGGGACUUCCAUGUAACCCAAUAAAUGUCUUCAUUGUUUUAAGACACUUUUACUUGGAAAUUAUGUAACUUGUAGUUGGAAACAUCCUAACUAAUACAUACUCUAAUAAUAUAGACUUCUUGAACCAGUCUAUAAGGACACAGUGUAAAUCAAAGCAAACAAAUGUAAUUAAGUUAGGGUAAAACUUGCUAAAAUGUCCUGAAUUGUUAUUACUUUUUUCAUCCAGUUUUACAGACUUUACUUAAUUUCAGGCAGAUAGACCCUUAUCAGCAAAAUAUGAUCAAUGACAUUAGCAAAACUUAGAAGUACAUUAGUUGAAUUAUUUAUACUUUCCACAAACUCUACUGAAACGUGACCAACCUAGAAACUAUGGUUUUGUUAUAGAGACUACUCAGAAGAGAUAGACUUUCUUGUGUCAAUUUUCUUCAAAAAAUAAAGUAUUAUUUUAUUAUAAAUUAAACAUAAA